AUGGUUUGGCUCUGUGUCCCCACCCAAAUUGCCUUGAAUUGUAAUAAUCCCCACGUGUCGAGGGUAGGACCAGGUGGAAAUAAUUGGAUCAUGGUGGCAAUUUCCCACAUGCUGUUCUUAUGAUAGACAGUGAGCUC
This is a long non-coding RNA of Cebus imitator (Panamanian white-faced capuchin), 137 nucleotides long. RefSeq lists it as uncharacterized. NCBI's taxonomy places the organism in Eukaryota, Metazoa, Chordata, Mammalia, Primates, Cebidae. The record is from RefSeq and is a predicted model, not a curated record. The transcript is spliced from 3 exons.